Long non-coding RNA from Balaenoptera ricei (Rice's whale), 976 nucleotides. RefSeq lists it as uncharacterized. NCBI's taxonomy places the organism in Eukaryota, Metazoa, Chordata, Mammalia, Artiodactyla, Balaenopteridae. The transcript is spliced from 3 exons. The record is from RefSeq and is a predicted model, not a curated record.
CCGGAAGUUUGCUGAACCCGGAGAGAAGAAAAAGAACUCAUUCUGGAGAGUCCCAGCAGGUGGCGGAGCCCUUUCACGCAUGCUCUGCAGAGACCCCUGGAGUCCCCCUGUAAGCAGGGCAGGUUGAGGUGAUGGGAGAAGAGAGCUGUCAGCCCCACUUCUCUAGAUUUAACUGGAAAGAUGGUCUUUUAGUUGUUUUACACACUGGAUUCAGCAGCUAGUAAAAGCUUGAAAACCAGUUCGGCUGCAGAAGGAAACACGUGGGCAGGUGCCAGAGAGGCUGCCUGAAGACAAGUGUUCACCGAAUGCAGGGGCCCCACGUCAGAGCACUGCCCUGUGUCCAGCCCCCCGGGAGGGACCUGCUUAUUCUCACUCUUCCGCAGAACAAAUGGAAAAGAAGAUGGGACCCUUGUAAAGACCUGCAACCGGAGGAACAAGGCUGGUCCUGGGAGACUGACUGGGCUUGUUUUUACUUUAGAAAAGGAAGCAGGGCCAGGACUUAGCAGGGUGGCCCCAAAUGUCCCCAGACUGAGUGGGGAGGAAACAUUUUGAGCCACCCUCAAAAAGCGUGCUGUUAUUUCAACUCCCAAAAGCAAAAUUACGUUGUGGCCCACUGAGGAAUGAGGUCACCUGUUCACAGACCCACUUAUGGAGAACAUUCCUACAUAACAUUGCUUGGCUCCUUGGAGUUGAGAAUAAAGACACUGAGGCCCAGAAAGAUGGUCAGAGCUUUGCCAUGUGCUUGUAUCCAAGGUCACAGAGCUAGGUAGGAGCUGAAUGUGUGGUUGGUGGGAAGAACACUGUCUCUGGGGUCAGACAAGCCUAUGACUGAUCCAAAUGCUGCUGUGUGACCUUGGGCAAAUUCACUAACCUCUUGUUUUCUUAUCUGUAAAAUGGGAAUAAUAAUACCUACCUAGCAGGCUUAUUGUGAGAUUAAGUGAGAAAAUAUAUAUAAAAUGCCUGACACAAAAUGGUG